Molecule: ribosomal RNA, 520 nt
Filed under: uncultured Glomus
Lineage: Eukaryota; Fungi; Glomeromycota; Glomeromycetes; Glomerales; Glomeraceae
Description: SSU rRNA
Rfam family: Eukaryotic small subunit ribosomal RNA
Source: RNAcentral
AGCAGCCGCGGUAAUUCCAGCUCCAAUAGCGUAUAUUAAAGUUGUUGCAGUUAAAAAGCUCGUAGUUGAAUUUCGGGGUCAGUAGUUUGGUCGUGCCAAUGGUAUGUACUGGGCUCACUGAUUCCUCCUUCCUGAUGAACUGUAAUGCCAUUAAUUUGGUGUUGCAGGGAAACUGGACUGUUACUUUGAAAAAAUUAGAGUGUUUAAAGCAAGCUAACGCUUGAAUACAUUAGCAUGGAAUAAUGAAAUAGGACGUUCGAUCCUAUUUCGUUGGUUUCUAGGAUUGACGUAAUGAUUAAUAGGGAUAGUUGGGGGCAUUAGUAUUCAAUUGUCAGAGGUGAAAUUCUUGGAUUUAUUGAAGACUAACUACUGCGAAAGCAUUUGCCAAGGAUGUUUUCAUUAAUCAAGAACGAAAGUUAGGGGAUCGAAGACGAUCAGAUACCGUCGUAGUCUUAACCAUAAACUAUGCCGACUAGGGAUCGGAUGAUGUUAAUUUUUAAUGACUCAUUCGGCGCCCUAA